AUACGGAGGAUCCGAGCGUUAUCCGGAUUUAUUGGGUUUAAAGGGUGCGCAGGCGGGAGAUUAAGUCGGCGGUGAAAUUUUGCAGCUCAACUGUAAAAGUGGCUUUGAAACUGGGUUCCUUUAGUGUAGGUGAAGUAGGUGGAAUUUGUGGGGGAGCGGUGAAAUGCAUAGAUAUGACGAAGAACACCGAUUGCGUAGGCAGCUGACCAGACCGCAAAUGACGCUCAUGCACGAAAGUGCGGGGAUCGAACAGGAUUAGAUACCCUGGUAGUCCGCACAGUAAACGAUGAAUACUUGUUUUCGGCGAUAUAAUGUCGGAGGCAAAGCGAAAGCGAUAAGUAUUCCACCUGGGGAGUACGCAGGCAACGGUGAAACUCAAAUGAAUUGACGGGG
Molecule: ribosomal RNA, 393 nt
Filed under: uncultured bacterium
Lineage: Bacteria
Description: partial 16S ribosomal RNA
Rfam family: Bacterial small subunit ribosomal RNA
Source: RNAcentral